UACAGAGGGUGCGAGCGUUAAUCGGAAUUACUGGGCGUAAAGCGCGCGUAGGCGGCUUUUCAAGUCGAUUGUGAAAUCCCCGGGCUUAACCUGGGAACUGCAGUCGAGACUGUCUAGCUAGAGUAUGGGAGAGGGAAGUGGAAUUUCAGGUGUAGCGGUGAAAUGCGCAGAUAUCAGGAGGAACACCAAUUGCGAAGGCAGCUCGCUGGGACGUGACUGACGCUGAGACGCGAAAGCGUGGGGAGCAAACAGG
RNAcentral lists this ribosomal RNA (253 nucleotides) under uncultured bacterium. RNAcentral describes it as "partial 16S ribosomal RNA". It matches the Rfam family "Bacterial small subunit ribosomal RNA", at positions 524 to 776 of the family's 1533-position model. The record is from RNAcentral.